UACGGAGAGUGCAAGCGUUAAUCGGAAUUAUUGGGCGUAAAGGGCGCGUAGGCGGGAGACUAAGUCAGAUGUGAAAUUCCAAAGCUCAACUUUGGAGCUGCAUUUGAAACUAUAAUUCUAGAGGAUUGACGGGGAAAACGAAAUUCCACGUGUAGCGGUGAAAUGCGUAGAUAUGUGGAAGAACACCUGUGGCGAAAGCGGUUUUCUAGUUAAUACCUGACGCUGAGGCGCGAGAGCAAGGGGAGCAAACAGG
RNAcentral lists this ribosomal RNA (253 nucleotides) under uncultured bacterium. RNAcentral describes it as "partial 16S ribosomal RNA". It matches the Rfam family "Bacterial small subunit ribosomal RNA", at positions 524 to 776 of the family's 1533-position model. The record is from RNAcentral.